CAUGAUUGGAUUUUAAUAGAAUUUACAUGAGGUCUUACUUAUGUUCAUGUUACAACAUUAGGGAGUUUGGGCUGAUUGUGCAAACUGAAAGGCAGAGCUGUCUGUCUUGAUAGAUGUGUGAGAAAGCCAGCCCUGUGUCUGCAGAGGAGAAGCUAGUACAACCACUUCGUGAGUAAAGAGGCAACAGUGAAUCACUCCCCCAGCAAAAGAACAGCCUCUGAUUUGUCGGUUCUUCUUGAACAACCCCUUUGAAUCAGAUGCUCUGAAGGAGGAGGAAAAGGAGGACCAGGCAGAUUGUGUUGUUUCUCCAUGGGUGGGGAUGAUCUUGCCCUAAGUGAAAACAAGUACAUCACGGAAGUCACCACAUGGAUUGUAAACCUGUCAGUACACCCAGAACUUCUGUGCUUCACUUUUACUGCUUUGUAAUAAUGUUAAUAAAAUAUUCAGGCAAAGGCUACAGAAAAAAGUACACAAGAAUAAGUAGGUCAGGUUUGUAAUAAAUUCCAACUGAGAUUCAGGGUUUCAUGUACAUUUAACGCUAGAUCUUCCAGUCA
Malaclemys terrapin pileata is the source of this 554-nucleotide long non-coding RNA. RefSeq lists it as uncharacterized. The record is from RefSeq and is a predicted model, not a curated record. NCBI's taxonomy places the organism in Eukaryota, Metazoa, Chordata, Testudines, Emydidae. The transcript has 3 exons.